This 330-nucleotide ribosomal RNA is filed under the name Kitasatospora aureofaciens. Its description in RNAcentral is "bacterial SSU rRNA". It matches the Rfam family "Bacterial small subunit ribosomal RNA", at positions 1 to 335 of the family's 1533-position model. Lineage: Bacteria; Bacillati; Actinomycetota; Actinomycetes; Kitasatosporales; Streptomycetaceae. The record is from RNAcentral.
UUCACGGAGAGUUUGAUCCUGGCUCAGGACGAACGCUGGCGGCGUGCUUAACACAUGCAAGUCGAACGGUGAAGCCCUUCGGGGUGGAUCAGUGGCGAACGGGUGAGUAACACGUGGGCAAUCUGCCCUGCACUCUGGGACAAGCCCUGGAAACGGGGUCUAAUACCGGAUAUGACCUUCCUCCGCAUGGGGGUUGGUGGAAAGCUCCGGCGGUGCAGGAUGAGCCCGCGGCCUAUCAGCUUGUUGGUGGGGUAAUGGCCUACCAAGGCGACGACGGGUAGCCGGCCUGAGAGGGCGACCGGCCACACUGGGACUGAGACACGGCCCAGA